AGUGUGUGGCUGGCGUUAUACAGCCCCCAGCCAUCGCCUGGAGGGCAUCCAGUGUCUGUUAUCACUCACCUUAGGUAGUCUGUGAAGGUCCAGUCAUCACUGGUGCACGUGUAUCUUACCUGUGAUCAACACCGACAGCCACAGACUCCUGCCCAAGGAACGAACACAGUGAUCGUGAUGACAUUGACAACAACGAGCAAGUCCUCCUAGACCUAGAGUGACCUCAAGCUGGGCCAAACAUGAUGUGGAAGAAGAAAUCAGUUGUCUCCAUCAGUCGGGUUUGUGCCAUGGCAGCUUUCUCCAGCUGUCCGGCAGAGGUCCAGUCCAUGCCAUGGAGAAAUUCAGCCCCCAACAAUGAGAUGGCAUGCCAGAGAUGGAUCCGCAGCUUCUCCAAUCAAUCAAUCCUUGCAAUGCCCUUUCUCUUUUCUCUUCUUCUGUACCACCAUGCUUACACAUAACUGAUCCAAGGUACUUAAACUCGUUAACCUCCUCCAUUUCUUCACCAUUCAAAAUUAUUUGGCAUUCUUUUUCACAUUCAACGCCCACUCUAUAUGGGCAUACAAACUCUACAACCUCCCUUCUACUCCCCUCACAAACCAUCACUUUACUUUUGUUGACAUUUACUUUCAACUUUCUCCUUUUACAUACACUAUCAAAAACACUGACCAAAUUUUGUAAGUCACUUUCAUUUUCUGCAUUGAGCACCGUGUCAUCAGCAAAUAAGAUUGAAUUCAUCACCCACUUCCCUCCCUCCCUCAGCAUACAUUUUUACUUCAAUUUCCCCAACUUUGCCCUUCAUUUCUCAUAACACCAUCCAUAUAAAUAUUGAACAACCAUGAUGACAUGACACACCCCUGCCUUAGCCCACUUUCAUCUUAAAAUGUUCACUUGUUUCUCCAGUAAUUUUGACACAUGCAGAUGCAUCCUCAUAGAAAGACUUUAUUGCAUAAAGCAGUUUUCCUCCCACACCAUAUAUCUUUAAGACGUCCCACAAUGCCAGCCAAUCGACUCUGUCAUAAACUUUCUUUAGAAUAACUAGAUCCAUGAAGGCAGCAUAGUAUUUUUCCUUUGCUAA
This is a long non-coding RNA of Eriocheir sinensis (Chinese mitten crab), 1075 nucleotides long. RefSeq lists it as uncharacterized. The transcript has 3 exons. The record is from RefSeq and is a predicted model, not a curated record. NCBI's taxonomy places the organism in Eukaryota, Metazoa, Arthropoda, Malacostraca, Decapoda, Varunidae.